Molecule: long non-coding RNA, 435 nt
Organism: Diachasmimorpha longicaudata
Lineage: Eukaryota; Metazoa; Arthropoda; Insecta; Hymenoptera; Braconidae
Exons: 3
Source: RefSeq, a predicted model, not a curated record
ACAUUCAUAUAAAAGAGGAAUCACCAGGAAUUGUUACAUCAAAAAAAAAUCUGUUCUUUCAAAAAUUUCACACAAUGCGGACUCUCCUUAUCUUCACCAUCUUCUUGGCACUCGCAUAUACAGCUUGUGCAGAGCCGCGUCCUCAAUCACCGAGGAGAUGCCGUUCCGGGGAACAAUGGCAAACAUGCGCUCCAGCGUGUCAGCCGACAUGUAGAAAUCCUCGCGGAGCCUGCCCUGGCCGUCGGUGCGUUGCGUCCUGCGCCUGCAUUCGCGGUAUGGUGAGAAUGUUCCCCGGUGGUAUCUGCACGAGAGUCUGUCCACGCAUCGGUUGAAGAUCAUCUUUUGCCAUUUUCGAACUAUUUCUGCGGUAUUAUCUAACUUCAUGAUUAUAAAUGUCUGCUUCAAUAAAAUGAUUUUGCUGUCAACUUAUUAAUA